AUGGAUCCCCCCCUCCAAAAAAAAAGGAGCCACGGGGGGGGAUCCGGAGUCUCAUGGGGUUCCGGACUGGAGGAGGAUCCUACUGAGUCUCUCUCACGGGGAGAUCCAAGGAGGGGGGAGGAUCCACAGCAGUCCCUCACAGGAGGAGGAUCCAGCAGCCUCUCUCGCAAGGACCCAGCGAAGCGAUCCCGCAGUCUCUCUCGCAGGAGGAGGAUCCAGCAGUCUCUCCCGCAGGAAGGAGUGAGCGUGGGGAGGGGAUCCGAGUAGGAGGAUCCAGCAAAGUCU
RNAcentral lists this long non-coding RNA (285 nucleotides) under Struthio camelus australis. RNAcentral's name for it is "lncRNA (ENSSCUG00000002505.1)". The record is from RNAcentral. Lineage: Eukaryota; Metazoa; Chordata; Aves; Struthioniformes; Struthionidae.